ACCGGAGUAGCUCAGUCGGUAGAGCGCAAGACUUUUAAUCUUGUGGUCGAGGGUUCGAGCCCCUCCUUCGGUG
RNAcentral lists this transfer RNA (73 nucleotides) under Ectocarpus siliculosus. It matches the Rfam family "tRNA". From Rfam's summary of the family: Transfer RNA (tRNA) molecules are approximately 80 nucleotides in length. Their secondary structure includes four short double-helical elements and three loops (D, anti-codon, and T loops). The record is from Rfam by way of RNAcentral. Lineage: Eukaryota; Phaeophyceae; Ectocarpales; Ectocarpaceae.